GAGCAUCGACCAGUUGCUGUCCAGGGUAAAGAUAAGGAAGCUGAGAUGUAGAGCUGAAGUGUCUUGCCCAAGAUCAUUUGUCUACCUAUGACCUGGCUCAACCCAGCUACAAGUUGUUAAUAAGAGGGAAGCAUAUCAGGAAAAUCUGAGUGCAAUGGUUUAGGAAUUGGGAAAGUAUAAAAGGUAUAGCACAACAGCACUAGACAACUGAGGUAGUCACCUACCUAAGGAGAGAUGCCAAGGACAAGUUGGCCAGCUAAACACUUUCUCCAGAAAUGGGAUUUAUAGUUUUGCUAAUUUCUUUAAUAUCAGAAGACAGCUGGAUUCUCAUUUCUGCUUCUGCAUUCAGUCUAUUGUGAUAUAGCAUAUCAUGUAACUUCUGAAAAACUUCACUGUACACAGAUGCUGACCUCACAGACUCCCUGAAAGGAUCUCCAUGACCUCUAUGGUUCCUUAGACUGCACUUUGAGAACUAUUGACGUACAGGGAAAAAUGCUCUUGGUGUUCCAGUUAAGCACAGAAUAAAAUCUGGACUGUGUCAGUUUGUAAAGAUCUUAUGUCUACUUGGUCAUCAGCCAAGAAGGGAUUCCGAAGAUAGAAGAGGAGGCAUCAACACCGUGAACAUCAUGGCUGAGUUAUUUUGUGAGAGGGAUAAGCCUAAAGUAAAAACCUUGGAUUUGCCUCUGUCCUUGAACAUGCUAUCUGGAAAGAGUUUUCUUAAAAGUAUUGUUGUGAACACAUCCAUUUUCCCAGUAUAGUUGAAUGCAGGGUUUAAUAAAUGGAAUGAAUC
Long non-coding RNA from Homo sapiens (human), 790 nucleotides. NCBI's taxonomy places the organism in Eukaryota, Metazoa, Chordata, Mammalia, Primates, Hominidae. The record is from Ensembl.